Molecule: unclassified non-coding RNA, 329 nt
Filed under: soil metagenome
Description: partial contains 5.8S ribosomal RNA, internal transcribed spacer 2, and large subunit ribosomal RNA
Rfam family: 5.8S ribosomal RNA (bases 1-120)
Source: RNAcentral
GAUGAAGAACGUAGCGAAAUGCGAUAAUUAAUGUGAAUUGCAGAAUUUAGUGAAUCAUCGAAUCUUUGAACGCACAUUGCGCCCCUUGGUAUUCCGGGGGGCAUGCCUGUUCGAGCGUCAUUACAACCCUCAAGCUCUGCUUGGUAUUGGGCCCCGCCAGUUCUGGCGGGCCCUAAAGUCAGUGGCGGUGCCUUCCGGCUCCGAGCGUAGUAAUUCUUCUCGCUCUGGAGACCCGGUUGUGUGCUUGCCAACAACCCCCAAUUUUUUAAGGUUGACCUCGGAUCAGGUAGGGAUACCCGCUGAACUUAAGCAUAUCAAUAAGCGGAGGA